Molecule: transfer RNA, 71 nt
Filed under: Trichobilharzia regenti
Lineage: Eukaryota; Metazoa; Platyhelminthes; Trematoda; Strigeidida; Schistosomatidae
Rfam family: tRNA
About the family: Transfer RNA (tRNA) molecules are approximately 80 nucleotides in length. Their secondary structure includes four short double-helical elements and three loops (D, anti-codon, and T loops).
Source: Rfam by way of RNAcentral
GAGUCGGUGGUUGAAUGUUAGAAUGUUUGCCUGCCAUGCAGAAGUUCCGAGUUGGCUUCUUGGUCGACGCA